RNAcentral lists this ribosomal RNA (301 nucleotides) under uncultured bacterium. Its description in RNAcentral is "partial 16S ribosomal RNA". It matches the Rfam family "Bacterial small subunit ribosomal RNA", at positions 509 to 807 of the family's 1533-position model. The record is from RNAcentral.
CAGUAGCCGCGGUAAUACGAAGGGUGCAAGCGUUACUCGGAAUUACUGGGCGUAAAGCGUGCGUAGGUGGUGGUUUAAGUCCGUUGUGAAAGCCCAGGGCUCAACCUGGGAAUUGCAGUGGAUACUGGGUCACUAGAGUGUGGUAGAGGAUAGUGGAAUUUCCGGUGUAGCAGUGAAAUGCGUAGAGAUCGGAAGGAACAUCUGUGGCGAAGGCGACUAUCUGGGCCAACACUGACACUGAGGCACGAAAGCGUGGGGAGCAAACAGGAUUAGAGACCCGAGUAGUCCCUGUCUCUUAUAC